This 497-nucleotide ribosomal RNA is filed under the name uncultured bacterium. Its description in RNAcentral is "partial 16S ribosomal RNA". It matches the Rfam family "Bacterial small subunit ribosomal RNA", at positions 28 to 507 of the family's 1533-position model. The record is from RNAcentral.
GAUGAACGCUGGCGGCGUGCCUAAUACAUGCAAGUCGAGCGAACAGACGAGGAGCUUGCUCCUCUGACGUUAGCGGCGGACGGGUGAGUAACACGUGGAUAACCUACCUAUAAGACUGGGAUAACUUCGGGAAACCGGAGCUAAUACCGGAUAAUCUAUUGAACCGCAUGGUUCAAUAGUGAAAGACGGUUUUGCUGUCACUUAUAGAUGGAUCCGCGCCGCAUUAGCUAGUUGUUAAGGUAACGGCUUACCAAGGCAACGAUGCGUAGCCGACCUGAGAGAGUGAUCGGCCACACUGGAACGGAGACACGGUCCAGACUCCUACGGGAGGCAGCAGUAGGGAAUCUGCCGCAAUGGGCGAAAGCCUGACGGAGCAACGCCGCGUGAGUGAUGAAGGUCUUCGGAUCGUAAAACUCUGUUAUUAGGGAAGAACAAAUGUGUAAGUAACUAUGCACGUCUUGACGGUACCUAAUCAGAAAGCCACGGCUAACUACGUG